AGCGAACGCUGGCGGCAGGCCUAAUACAUGCAAGUCGAACGGCUCUUCGGAGCAGUGGCGGACGGGUGAGUAACACGUGGGAACGUGCCCUUUGGUACGGAACAACUGAGGGAAACUUCAGCUAAUACCGUAUGUGCCCCCAUUCUUAGCGGGAUGGGUGGGAAAGAUUUAUCGCCAUUGGAGCGGCCCGCGUUGGAUUAGCUAGUUGGUGGGGUAAAGGCCCACCAAGGCUACGAUCCAUAGCUGGUCUGGGAGGAUGAUCAGCCACACUGGAACUGAGACACGGCCCAGACUCCUACGGGAGGCAGCAGUAGGGAAUCUUGCGCAAUGGGCGAGAGCCUGACGCAGCCAUGCCGCGUGAAUGAUGAAGGUCUUAGGAUUGUAAAAUUCUUUCACCGGGGAAGAUAAUGACGGUACCCGGAGAAGAAGCCCCGGCUAACUUCGUGCCAGCCGCCGCGGUAA
This 462-nucleotide ribosomal RNA is filed under the name uncultured bacterium. RNAcentral's name for it is "partial 16S ribosomal RNA". It matches the Rfam family "Bacterial small subunit ribosomal RNA", at positions 29 to 523 of the family's 1533-position model. The record is from RNAcentral.